ACUGUGGUUUAAUGGUAGAACGGCGGUUUUGUAGUCCGUCUAUAUGGGUUCGAUUCCUAUCGGU
Molecule: transfer RNA, 64 nt
Filed under: human gut metagenome
Rfam family: tRNA
About the family: Transfer RNA (tRNA) molecules are approximately 80 nucleotides in length. Their secondary structure includes four short double-helical elements and three loops (D, anti-codon, and T loops).
Source: RNAcentral